This is a transfer RNA of 81 nucleotides. It matches the Rfam family "tRNA". Rfam says of the family: Transfer RNA (tRNA) molecules are approximately 80 nucleotides in length. Their secondary structure includes four short double-helical elements and three loops (D, anti-codon, and T loops). The record is from Rfam.
GGUCCCAUAGCUCAGUUGGUUAGAGCGUCGUACUAAUAUCAGUUAAUGCGAAGGCCGAGAGUUCGACCCUCUCUGGGACCA